AUGCGAGAAAUGGGGCUCAUAAAAUCUUCUCCUGAAAAUAUCCAACUCUCUGAAGGCCCGUUCUCCCAGUUUUCCCCAGAGCACAGAGUGCCUCAUUCCUGAUCUUCAUCCUGAACUUCUUUUAGGGUGUGUUGAAGGUCAGCGACUGCAGUGACCAGUGACUUCAUCCUUGUAGGGGCAGAUGGCGAGUGAAGAAUUGUCAUCCACAGGAUUACUACAGCAAGGAUAUGGCCAAAGGAGAGAUGAGAGGUGGGAAGAGUGAAUUAGAAGCUUUUGUGAUGAGCGAAGUGGAGCCUGAACAGGGAUGGUGGCUGAAAAAAUGAAAGGGUCAUACCUGGGACACUCGGAAGUUUCCAGUCAGAGCUGCCACUGCUGGCCUGCGCCAC
Phacochoerus africanus (Common warthog) is the source of this 386-nucleotide long non-coding RNA. RefSeq lists it as uncharacterized. The transcript is spliced from 3 exons. NCBI's taxonomy places the organism in Eukaryota, Metazoa, Chordata, Mammalia, Artiodactyla, Suidae. The record is from RefSeq and is a predicted model, not a curated record.